UACAGAGGAUGCAAGCGUUAUCCGGAAUUAUUGGGCGUAAAGAGUCUGUAGGUGGUCGAAGUGAAGUCCCCUGUUAAAUCUCAGGGCUCAACCCUGUGCAGGCAGUGGAAACUCAUCGGCUUGAGUACGGUAGGGGCAGAGGGAAUUCCCGGUGUAGCGGUGAAAUGCGUAGAGAUCGGGAAGAACACCAAUGGCGAAAGCACUCUGCUGGGCCGAUUACUGACACUGAGAGACGAAAGCUAGGGGAGCGAAUGGG
This 256-nucleotide ribosomal RNA is filed under the name uncultured prokaryote. RNAcentral's name for it is "partial 16S ribosomal RNA". It matches the Rfam family "Bacterial small subunit ribosomal RNA", at positions 524 to 776 of the family's 1533-position model. The record is from RNAcentral.